AAUAGAUACCCAGGUAGUCCAUGCCGUAAACGUUGGGCACUAGGUGUGGGCUCAUUCCACGAGUUCCGUGCCGCAGCAAACGCAUUAAGUGCCCCGCCUGGGGAGUACGGCCGCAAGGCUAAAACUCAAAGGAAUUGACGGGGGCCCGCACAAGCGGCGGAGCAUGCGGAUUAAUUCGAUGCAACGCGAAGAACCUUACCAAGGCUUGACAUGCACGGGAAGCCACCAGAGAUGGUGGUCUCUUUGGACACUCGUGCACAGGUGGUGCAUGGUUGUCGUCAGCUCGUGUCGUGAGAUGUUGGGUUAAGUCCCGCAACGAGCGCAACCCUCGUCCCAUGUUGCCAGCGGGUUAUGCCGGGGACUCAUGGGAGACUGCCGGGGUCAACUCGGAGGAAGGUGGGGAUGACGUCAAAUCAUCAUGCCCCUUAUGUCUUGGGCUUCACGCAUGCUACAAUGGCCGGUACAAAGGGCUGCGAUACCGUAAGGUGGAGCGAAUCCCAAAAAGCCGGUCUCAGUUCGGAUUGGGGU
Molecule: ribosomal RNA, 528 nt
Filed under: uncultured bacterium
Lineage: Bacteria
Description: bacterial SSU rRNA
Rfam family: Bacterial small subunit ribosomal RNA
Source: RNAcentral